AUGAGCAUGCCGAAGUACAUGGGAGGUUUGGGUUUCCGGGAUUUCGAGAUCUUCAACUUGGCUCUCUUGGCGCGGCAGGCGUGGAGAAUUCUGGAGCAACCUGAAUCUCUAAGUGCGAGGAUAUUGAAGGGAGUUUACUAUCCGAACUCGGAUUUUCUCAAUGCUGAACUGGGAAAACACCCCUCACAAAUCUGGAGAUCGGUAAUAAAGGGCCGUGAUGUGCUGCAACAAGGUCUUAUCAGGAGAAUUGGCAAUGGUUACUCCACAAGUAUUUGGGACAUGAACUGGAUCCCAAGGCCUCAAAAUAUGCGACCCAUUGUAUCUCUUAUUCAGAACCCACCACUGAUGGUGGCCGAGCUACUUGAUCCUUUAAAUGCAUGCUGGGAUGAGCAAAGAAUCCAACAGAUUUUUCUGCCGAAUGAUGCUGCAGCUAUACUUCAGAUUCCGGUGUGCACGUGUAAUAUGGAUGAUUUUUGGUCAUGGAGAUUUGAGAAGAAUGGUUUGUUCACUGUACGGUCU
This 519-nucleotide ribosomal RNA is filed under the name Triticum aestivum (bread wheat). RNAcentral's name for it is "partial small subunit ribosomal RNA". The record is from RNAcentral. Lineage: Eukaryota; Viridiplantae; Streptophyta; Magnoliopsida; Poales; Poaceae.